Long non-coding RNA from Gasterosteus aculeatus aculeatus (three-spined stickleback), 1783 nucleotides. NCBI's taxonomy places the organism in Eukaryota, Metazoa, Chordata, Actinopteri, Perciformes, Gasterosteidae. The record is from Ensembl.
CGUGAGGUAAGAAAGGUUGGGGACCACUGGGCUGAUCCACAGCGUGUGUGUUUACACACCUCCUGGAUCCUGAUUGGUCGCUGCUGCAGCCGCAAGGCACUGAUUGGAUGCUCACAGACCGUAAUACAGCGCGGAUGAAAAGGAUUCAGACUACGGCGUUUAUAUGUUCAACAAUAGGAAACGCAGUCUUAGCUGUUUUUAAAUUACACCAAGUUUAUUUCGGAUUAUUCCAAGAAGAAUACAAGGCGCAGGGAACUUUAAGCGCCACAACAUAGAGGACAGCUUCUACUGGCUUGCUGCUACCCACCUCUGCCACCUGAGCUGUGUAAAGUAUGUGUUGGAGGAAACAUGAGAGAGUGUUAGGAGAGCGGCUCCGACCCCCAACGCAUGUGGCCAGGCAUCCAGGCCAUCAUGACCAUAAGGCAACCAACUCUACCCCCCGAAACAGUGACGCCUCCUUCCCUGACGAGCUGAGCAGCUUUUACGCUCGCGUCGACAGGGACAAUGAGGACGUGGCCUGUACAUCUCCUUGAAUGACAUGUUGCAGUAAAGUACAUUUACACCAUUUAAAGCCCUCAAAGACUCUCACACUAAACUUACCAGGGAGGAGAUGAUCUGCAGGAUCCUGGUGAUCUUCAUCCUGACCUCCUGUGUCUGUGCAGGGUCAUUUGUAGUCAAUGUGACACAGAGCUGGUAUCAUGCAGAGGAGAACCACAACGUCUCACUGGAAUGGAUGUUCCCCACCAGCACGGACCACUCCACCAACUCCCUUUAUGUCUCAUGCGAGAUGUUAGUUGAUAUGAUACCAUUACUCAUGUUUCAUCUACAUAAAGGUGUUGAGUUCCCAGAGUUGCAGGACAAACGCUUUGCAGGACGAGUCCAGUGGGACAAAGACGUCCUCGGAGAAGGACAACUCAGACUUCACAUCUCCAGACUCCAGACUAAUGACUCGGGGCUGUACUGGUGUGAAGUGGACACAAGUUAUGGGAGGAACUUUAAGGAAUGUCACCUCAACGUCACCGGUAGGUUCAUUAAGUUAAAUUUACUAACACGUUCAGCAACUUCAUUCAGAUACAUUUUUUUUUUCUUUACAUGAAUAAAAAAUAUUUCUCUGGUCUCUUUGCAGCAGUGAAGGAUCGGCCUGAGACAACAAGUGAUACGAGUCUGAGAAGAAGUCCUCAGGGAAUGAUCGGCCUCUACUCUGCACUGGGACUGACCGCUGUACUGGGUUUUUAUUUAUUUUAUCUCUGCAUGGCAAAAAAUAUUAGAGAUCAACACAACAAACGAACCACAUCUGUAUCUUGGACAUCUUGGAUCUUGUAAAGUGGACGUUACAAUUUAAUUGUGUUGUUGUGCAACUGGUCAGACCGGCCGUCUGAGGAACUAGCUUUUUCCCAGAGCUGUUACAUUACAUUACAGGUCACCCUUUUGAACUCUUUCCCCCCCCUCUGGUCCCCAUUACACUACUCUAUCUGCACUGAAGACACUUUAUACCAUUUGUUUACUCUCAAUUCAAUAUGCACUUAAUAUUUGCACUAGUUUAGCAACCCCUGAUGGUUUCUGUUUAUAUCUCCACAUUUAAUGUGAAUCUGUCUGUUUUGCCUAAUUUAUUACCAAAUAGUACCAUAGGCCAUAAGACAACCUCUGUAUAGUGUUUAAUGUAUCUAUGAUCUGUAUAUACUGUUAUCUAUUAAAAUACUUUCUGUUGCACUGGUUUGAUGCCAAACUGCAUUUCGCUGCUCGCUACUUGUACAUGUGUAAUGACAAUAAAGUUGAAUCUAAU